GGCCAUUUAGCUCAAAUGGUCAGAGUGUGGUGCUUAUAAUGCCAAGGUCAUGGGUUCAAUCCCCAUAAUGGCCA
This is a non-coding RNA of Xiphophorus maculatus (southern platyfish), 74 nucleotides long. The record is from Rfam. NCBI's taxonomy places the organism in Eukaryota, Metazoa, Chordata, Actinopteri, Cyprinodontiformes, Poeciliidae.